This 369-nucleotide small RNA is filed under the name Oryza sativa Japonica Group (Japanese rice). Its description in RNAcentral is "sRNA Os05g0541250". Lineage: Eukaryota; Viridiplantae; Streptophyta; Magnoliopsida; Poales; Poaceae. The record is from RNAcentral.
UACCCGACGACACGGCGGCCGCCGUCGAGAACCGUACGCGCGAUCAAGCCCAUCAGCCCGAUGCUGCCGCCGCCGUAGACCAGAUCGACGCCCCGCCUCACCUGAAAAACAAAAAAAGGAGAAGAAUCUCACGGCUCGCACCUGAAAAAAAAAGUGUGAAACCAAGGAUGGAAAAGUACGAUGGCGGCGGCGGCGGCGGCGAGCGAGACAGCUCGACCGUCGCCGCGCCACGCGCCCGCCCGUUAUCUACGCGUACCAGCUCGUGGCCGAGGUCGAGCGCCGCGUCGCCGAACACCCUGCGGCGCCCCGCGUUGCUGCCGCAGAAGACGCAGAUCGUCCCGAACCUGCUCGCCGCGGUCGCCCCCGCCG